CCACCCGUAGCUCAACUGGCAGAGCAGCUCCCUCUUAAGGAGAUGGUUGAAGGUUCGACUCCUUCCGGGUGGA
Molecule: transfer RNA, 73 nt
Filed under: Pseudomonadota bacterium
Lineage: Bacteria; Pseudomonadati; Pseudomonadota
Also listed under: 4 other names
Description: tRNA-Lys
Rfam family: tRNA
About the family: Transfer RNA (tRNA) molecules are approximately 80 nucleotides in length. Their secondary structure includes four short double-helical elements and three loops (D, anti-codon, and T loops). Further hydrogen bonds mediate the characteristic L-shaped molecular structure. tRNAs have two regions of fundamental functional importance: the anti-codon, which is responsible for specific mRNA codon recognition, and the 3' end, to which the tRNAs corresponding amino acid is attached (by aminoacyl-tRNA synthetases). tRNAs cope with the degeneracy of the genetic code in two manners: having more than one tRNA (with a specific anti-codon) for a particular amino acid; and 'wobble' base-pairing, i.e. permitting non-standard base-pairing at the 3rd anti-codon position.
Source: RNAcentral